RNAcentral lists this ribosomal RNA (253 nucleotides) under uncultured bacterium. Its description in RNAcentral is "partial 16S ribosomal RNA". It matches the Rfam family "Bacterial small subunit ribosomal RNA", at positions 524 to 776 of the family's 1533-position model. The record is from RNAcentral.
UACGAAGGGGGCUAGCGUUGCUCGGAAUUACUGGGCGUAAAGCGCACGUAGGCGGAUCUUUAAGUCAGAGGUGAAAUCCCAGGGCUCAACCUUGGAACUGCCUUUGAUACUGGAGAUCUUGAGUUCGGGAGAGGUGAGUGGAACUGCGAGUGUAGAGGUGAAAUUCGUAGAUAUUCGCAAGAACACCAGUGGCGAAGGCGGCUCACUGGCCCGGUACUGACGCUGAGGUGCGAAAGCGUGGGGAGCAAACAGG